Molecule: ribosomal RNA, 120 nt
Filed under: Pteropus vampyrus (large flying fox)
Lineage: Eukaryota; Metazoa; Chordata; Mammalia; Chiroptera; Pteropodidae
Source: RNAcentral
CUAAAUAAUCACACCUGCUGCCUGAACAAGCCCAAUCCUGUCUGAUCUCGGAAGCUAAGCAAGGUUGGGCCUGGUUAGUACUUGGAUGGGAGACUAUCUAGGAAGACCAGGUGCUGUAGG